This 253-nucleotide ribosomal RNA is filed under the name uncultured bacterium. RNAcentral's name for it is "partial 16S ribosomal RNA". It matches the Rfam family "Bacterial small subunit ribosomal RNA", at positions 524 to 776 of the family's 1533-position model. The record is from RNAcentral.
UACGUAGGGGGCUAGCGUUGUCCGGAAUCAUUGGGCGUAAAGCGCGUGUAGGCGGUCCGGUAAGUCCGCUGUGAAAGUCGGGGGCUCAACCCUCGGAUGCCGGUGGAUACUGUCGGGCUUGAGUACGGAAGAGGCGAGUGGAAUUCCUGGUGUAGCGGUGAAAUGCGCAGAUAUCAGGAGGAACACCAAUUGCGAAGGCAGCUCGCUGGGACGUUACUGACGCUGAGACGCGAAAGCGUGAGGAGCAAACAGG